ACUCAAAUGAAUAGACGGGGACCUGCACAAGCGGUGGAGCGCGGGGUUUAAUUCGUCAACAAGCGAAGAACCUUACCCAGGCUUGACAUCUUUGGAAUCUCCUGGAAACAGGAGAGUGCCGCAAGGAACCAAAUGACAGGUGCUGCACGGUUGUCGUCAGCUCGUGCUGUGAAGUGUCCCGUUCAGUCGGUUAACGAGCGCAACCCCUACCCUGUGUUGUAUUUUUCACAGGGGACUGCCCUAGUUAAUAGGGAGGAAGGUGGGGACGACGUCAAAUCAGCGUGGCUCUUACGCCUGGGGCCACACCCACGCUACAAUGGGUAGUAACAAUGAGUUGCCAAGCCGCGAGGCGGAGCUAAUCUCACCAAACCUACCCCCAGUUCGGAUUGAAGGCUGCAACUCGCCUUCAUGAAGUCGGAAUCGCUAGUAACGGCCGGUCAGCCAUACGGCCGUGAAUACGUUCUCAGGUCUUGUACACACCGCCCGU
Molecule: ribosomal RNA, 487 nt
Filed under: uncultured bacterium
Lineage: Bacteria
Description: partial 16S ribosomal RNA
Rfam family: Bacterial small subunit ribosomal RNA
Source: RNAcentral